AACCCUGCGAAAGUGGGGCUAAUACCGGAUAAGACCACAUGGCAUAUGUCAUGGGGGUAGAAGGUGGCUUAUAUUUAUAUGAGCUAUCACUUGAGGAUGAGUCCAUGGCCUAUCAGCUUGUUGGUGAGGUAAAAGCUCACCAAGGCUAUGACGGGUAGCUGGUCUGAGAGGACGACCAGCCACACUGGGACUGAGACACGGCCCAGACUCCUACGGGAGGCAGCAGUGGGGGAAUAUUGGGCAAUGGGCGCAAGCCUGACCCAGCGACGCCGCGUGGGUGAUGAAGGCCUUCGGGUUGUAAAACCCUUUCGUGCGGAAAGAACAGCCCUGUAGUUAAUACCUGCAGGGUUUGACGGUACCGCAGGAAGAAGCACCGGCUAACUCCGUGCCAGCAGCCGCGGUAA
RNAcentral lists this ribosomal RNA (404 nucleotides) under uncultured Syntrophorhabdaceae bacterium TA10. RNAcentral describes it as "bacterial SSU rRNA". It matches the Rfam family "Bacterial small subunit ribosomal RNA", at positions 145 to 523 of the family's 1533-position model. The record is from RNAcentral. Lineage: Bacteria; Pseudomonadati; Thermodesulfobacteriota; Syntrophorhabdia; Syntrophorhabdales; Syntrophorhabdaceae.